UGAGGAAUAUUGGUCAAUGGACGAGAGUCUGAACCAGCCAAGUAGCGUGAAGGACGAAGGCCCUACGGGUCGUAAACUUCUUUUAUAGGGGAAUAAAGUGGAGAACGUGUUCUCCUUUGUAUGUACCCUACGAAUAAGGAUCGGCUAACUCCGUGCCAGCAGCCGCGGUAAUACGGAGGAUCCAAGCGUUAUCCGGAUUUAUUGGGUUUAAAGGGAGCGUAGGUGGACGUAUAAGUCAGUUGUGAAGGUUUGCGGCUCAACCGUAAGAUUGCAGUUGAUACUGUAUGUCUUGAGUGUACAAGAGGUGGGCGGAAUUCGUGGUGUAGCGGUGAAAUGCUUAGAUAUCACGAGGAACUCCGAUUGCGAAGGCAGCUCACUGGGGUACAACUGACACUGAGGCUCGAAAGUGUGGGUAUCAAACAG
RNAcentral lists this ribosomal RNA (423 nucleotides) under uncultured bacterium. RNAcentral describes it as "bacterial SSU rRNA". It matches the Rfam family "Bacterial small subunit ribosomal RNA", at positions 355 to 775 of the family's 1533-position model. The record is from RNAcentral.